UGGCGGACGGGUGAGUAACGCGUGGGUAACCUGCCUUAUACAGGGGGAUAACAGUUAGAAAUGACUGCUAAUACCGCAUAAGCGCACAGGAUUGCAUGAUCUGGUGUGAAAAACUCCGGUGGUAUAAGAUGGACCCGCGUCUGAUUAGCUUGUUGGUGAGGUAACGGCCCACCAAGGCGACGAUCAGUAGCCGACCUGAGAGGGUGACCGGCCACAUUGGGACUGAGACACGGCCCAAACUCCUACGGGAGGCAGCAUG
This 259-nucleotide ribosomal RNA is filed under the name uncultured bacterium. Its description in RNAcentral is "partial 16S ribosomal RNA". It matches the Rfam family "Bacterial small subunit ribosomal RNA", at positions 96 to 353 of the family's 1533-position model. The record is from RNAcentral.